Molecule: transfer RNA, 73 nt
Filed under: Hemitheconyx caudicinctus (African fat-tailed gecko)
Lineage: Eukaryota; Metazoa; Chordata; Lepidosauria; Squamata; Eublepharidae
Description: tRNA-Asn
Source: RNAcentral
AGGACUGAAGCCCGCUGGAUGGGGCGUUUAGUUGUUAACUAAUAUUUUACGGGAUCAAGGCCCGUCGGUCGUA